Paramuricea clavata is the source of this 504-nucleotide non-coding RNA. NCBI's taxonomy places the organism in Eukaryota, Metazoa, Cnidaria, Anthozoa, Malacalcyonacea, Plexauridae. The record is from the annotation of a GenBank genome assembly.
CGACUUCAAUAUUAACUAGAGAUGCGUAUUUCCAAGGGACGAAUUUAGGCAAUUCGGUCACUGAUCUGUGAAUUUGAUUGAAUAAUUAGCGUGACAACAGACGCCAUUUUAGCACGCUGUAUGGGCAGCCCGUAACACCUGCAGAAAAUAGGGUCGCACGGUCAAUCGUGUUGAAAAAAUAAUAGGGGAAAAAAAUAAAAAUAAUAGGCGGAAAAAAAUAGGGUCGGUCGGGAAAUGGAUUGUACCACAUCUUUAACCCAAUAAAACCCAGUACAGAUGAGCAAGUUUUCCUUGAAAAGUUUUAUUUACUUGUGUGUGCAGCAAAAAAGGACAUUUUUCCUUGCUAAUGAGCCUUGUGCUAAAGUCAGUUAUGUCCAUGUCAACUUUUGGGAGAUAAAUGUUUCAUAACAUUCCACACAGACAAGAAACAAAACUUAUCACAGGAAGCGUGCCUAGGAAAACAUCUUUAUCAUACACAAAAAGGUAAACUUGUUGAUAGACAAU